Molecule: ribosomal RNA, 508 nt
Filed under: uncultured bacterium
Lineage: Bacteria
Description: partial 16S ribosomal RNA
Rfam family: Bacterial small subunit ribosomal RNA
Source: RNAcentral
GACGAACGCUGGCGGCGUGCUUAACACAUGCAAGUCGAACGGGAUAAUUUGAGAGCUUGCUCUUAGAGAAUCUAGUGGCAAACGGGUGAGUAACACGUAGACAACCUGCCGACAGGAUGGGGACAACAUUCCGAAAGGAAUGCUAAUACCGAAUGAAGCGGAGGAGAGGCAUCUCUCCUCCGUGAAAGAUGGCCUCUGAAUAUGCUAUCACCUGUCGAUGGGUCUGCGUCUGAUUAGCUAGUUGGUGAGGUAACGGCUCACCAAGGCGACGAUCAGUAGCCGGUCUGAGAGGAUGAACGGCCACAUUGGGACUGAGACACGGCCCAGACUCCUACGGGAGGCAGCAGUGGGGAAUCUUCCGCAAUGGGCGCAAGCCUGACGGAGAAACGCCGCGUGAGUGAAGAAGGUCUUCGGAUCGUAAAGCUCUGUUGACGGGGACGAACGUGCGAAGGGUGAAUAAUCCUUUGUAAUGACGGUACCUGUCGAGGAAGCCACGGCUAACUACGUG